CAGGGAAUCUUGCGCAAUGGACGGGAGUCCGACGCAGCGACGCCGCGUGGGUGAAGACGGCCUUCGGGUUGUAAGGCCCUUUUCUGGGGGAAGAGAGAGGACGGUACUCCAGGAAUAAGUGUCGGCUAACUACGUGCCAGCAGCCGCGGUAAUACGUAGGACACGAGCGUUAUCCGGAUUUACUGGGCGUAAAGCGCCUGUAGGCGGUUCUUUAAGUCGUUUGUGAAAGCCCUGGGCUCAACCUGGGGAGGUCAAGCGAUACUGGAGGACUUGAGGGUUACAGAGGGGAGUGGAAUUUCCGGUGUAGCGGUAAAAUGCGCAGAUAUCGGGAGGAACACCAGUGGCGAAGGCGGCUCCCUGGGUCACCCCUGACGCUGAGAGGCGAAAGCUAGGGGAGCAAACAG
RNAcentral lists this ribosomal RNA (404 nucleotides) under uncultured bacterium. RNAcentral describes it as "bacterial SSU rRNA". It matches the Rfam family "Bacterial small subunit ribosomal RNA", at positions 355 to 775 of the family's 1533-position model. The record is from RNAcentral.